CUGACUUUUGGAUGCACCUGUAGGAUCUCCAGAAGCUCGUUAUACCGCUUUACAAGUUCGAGCCCGCAACUGUAUAGAGCGGUGUUUUGGGCGACUAAAAAUCAGUUGGUAGUGUUUGUCGUCAAUGGAGAAACUGCACUACAAGCCAGCAGCGGCAGCUAAGAUCGUUAAAACGUGUUGUGUGCUUGACAAUAUAGCUAACAAAGCGAAUUGUGAACUGCCUCCGCUGAACCGACACGAAGAACAGGAGCAGCAGCAGGAGCAGAGAUUAGCGGCGGAGUUUGACGCCCGUCAGCAGAAUGCUGAUAUUUAUUUGGCAAUGGCUCCUGACAGGUGUUGGCUAAACAAAGAGCUGCAGCUGGGUCGCGCUGCUCGUCAAGCGCUUGUCCGGCAGUUAGCAAAUUAUUGAUUCUUCAUCGGACCAAGGCCGAUUUGUCCAGGACCAAUUUUCGGAUCUCCUGGGCUUCCUGGAACAAGGACUAGUGAUUGUUUCGAGGAGCUGUCAUGGUGUUGGCUCUUGAUAUUUUAUCGCGAAACGCAGAUUUAAUGAUGAAGGCGCGUCGGAACCCAAACGUCAAGAAUCGCCGACGUUCACAGAAGCAGCUACAAUGAGCGGAGAAUCUGAGAGCCAGGUAAUAAGUUUAACAAAAUUGAAAAUAUCUGUGUAUCUACAAUGCCAACAAUAGAGGAAAAACGACUUAACCCUUUAAUGCACAGCGAUGUAUAUAUGCAUCAUCUAUUUUUGACUGUAAUGACAGCAUGUCAAAAUACAAAUUUGAAUUAAUCUUUGUCAAGGUCAUGCAUUUAAGGGUUAAAUUUAUAAAAAUAAAAGCUUGAAUUCAUAAAAAAAUACUGAACUGAUUAGUUGAAAAGAGUUAUGUCCCUUUUUUAACAGACUU
RNA transcript from Leguminivora glycinivorella, 899 nucleotides. RefSeq lists it as uncharacterized. The record is from RefSeq and is a predicted model, not a curated record. Lineage: Eukaryota; Metazoa; Arthropoda; Insecta; Lepidoptera; Tortricidae. The transcript has 3 exons.